This 260-nucleotide ribosomal RNA is filed under the name uncultured prokaryote. RNAcentral's name for it is "partial 16S ribosomal RNA". It matches the Rfam family "Bacterial small subunit ribosomal RNA", at positions 524 to 784 of the family's 1533-position model. The record is from RNAcentral.
UACGUAGGGGCAAGCGUUAUCCGGAUUUACUGGGUGUAAAGGGAGCGCAGACGGAACUGCAAGUCUGAUGUGAAAGCCCGGGGCUCAACCGCGGGACUGCAUCGGAUACUGUGGAUCUGGAGUGCCGGAGGGGCAAGCGGAAUUCCUGGUGUAGCGGUGAAAUGCGUAGAUAUCAGGAGGAACAUCCGUGGCGAAGGCGGCCACCUGGACCAGUACUGACACUGAGGCACGAAAGCGUGGGGAGCAAACAGGAUUAGAUA